RNAcentral lists this ribosomal RNA (495 nucleotides) under uncultured bacterium. RNAcentral describes it as "partial 16S ribosomal RNA". It matches the Rfam family "Bacterial small subunit ribosomal RNA", at positions 28 to 507 of the family's 1533-position model. The record is from RNAcentral.
GACCAACGCUGGCGGCGUGCCUAAUACAUGCAAGUAGAACGCUGAAGGAGGAGCUUGCUUCUCUGGAUGAGUUGCGAACGGGUGAGUAACGCGUAGGUAACCUGCCUGGUAGCGGGGGAUAACUAUUGGAAACGAUAGCUAAUACCGCAUAAGAGUAGAUGUUGCAUGACAUUUGCUUAAAAGGUGCAAUUGCAUCACUACCAGAUGGACCUGCGUUGUAUUAGCUAGUUGGUGGGGUAACGGCUUACCAAGGCGACGAUACAUAGCCGACCUGAGAGGGUGAUCGGCCACACUGGGACUGAGACACGGCCCAGACUCCUACGGGAGGCAGCAGUAGGGAAUCUUCGGCAAUGGACGGAAGUCUGACCGAGCAACGCCGCGUGAGUGAAGAAGGUUUUCGGAUCGUAAAGCUCUGUUGUAAGAGAAGAACGAGUGUGAGAGUGGAAAGUUCACACUGUGACGGUAUCUUACCAGAAAGGGACGGCUAACUACGUG